This is a non-coding RNA of Ictidomys tridecemlineatus (thirteen-lined ground squirrel), 3119 nucleotides long. The record is from RefSeq and is a predicted model, not a curated record. NCBI's taxonomy places the organism in Eukaryota, Metazoa, Chordata, Mammalia, Rodentia, Sciuridae.
AAGACUUCAGAUGCUCAGAGAAAGUACCUGAUGCUGAAAGACAGGAAAUUGAACAAUGUCACCCAAAUAUGCCUUGUGUCAUGCAUGCACUGUUACAGCUGUAAGCUUUGGAUGUGAAUCCUGCCAAAUUGUGGCAUGGCACUCAACCCCUCAAUAAGAAGUCAACAGUCAGUCCCAGUCAGCACUGUGAGAACUCCAGAAAACAUCUCAAACCUGGACCUUGCUCCAAGGAGCUGAUAAUGGUUUCUCUUCCAUUCUCCCAAACCAAGUAUCCACUUAAAAAGCUGGAAGUUUCUUCUUAGAAACUUCUUCGCUGUUGCAAGAAUCUUCAGAAGCCUGGAUUCUGAACAGUCUCGCCUAAAAAUUUCUAGAAUUAACUUCCUUUCUUCUAUGACUGUCGGCGUGCUCUAUCAAAGAAGCUUUUUAGGCCUUGCUGAUUGGCAUGAUAUUGAAGAACAGCCAGAUAUGGAGCAAAAUUCUCCUUGAAAUCUGGAAAAAUGUGGCAAGAAAAAGCAAGUAGCCUUCUCUGGCUAAGCCUGUAAGAGAAGAGGAAUAACCCUGACUUACAAGUAAGGAAACAGAUAAAAGAACCUACCCAAGGCAACACAGCCAACAGAUGAGUGGCCCAGCAUAUUCUGAACCCAGGUCUGUGUUCUCCCAAGACUUCACACUGCCUCCUUUAGAUAUCUGAAAAUCUGUUUAAAGAAACAAUCUAUGGCAUCACCAUUUGCACCAAAAUGAUAUCACACUCUCUGAAUUUUCUUAACAGAUACAUCUUUGGCCAGGAGAGAGUUCUAAUAUCAUUCAUUAGUGACCCUGCCAUUACAACAUGUGAAUUUUUGUUUUACCUUCUCAGUUUUAUUAAACUGAGAAAGACAGACCAAAAGACACUUUUUAUCAGUUUUUAUUUUAUUAUCAUUUUAUUACAAACCUGCAGUAAUGUUGAUUAUGUUUAUAAAUCUCUCAGUGAAAUUUUAAAACCAUUUUCCUUCUCUAAUCUCUCCCAUCCUGCCUUCUUAGAAGUACACAAAGCAUUUCAACCACUCCCAAAUUCCCUUUUGGAAUACCCUUAAUGAUUCUGAAAUAUUUUGUUAUUCCCCAAACACCGCCCUAAAGACAAAUCAUUGGACUCCAGGCUCUUCACAUUGCCAAGUUGAAUAGAGUUCAAAUGUUCUAUCUAACCGAACUCUGACUUACAACAAAGCCACAUAUAGUAGAUGAUGUGCAAGAUAUUCCGAAAAUACCAAGGCAACAUGGGGGGAAAAACUGUGUCAACAUGAAAUCUCCCCAAAUUUCUCUAUAAUCUGGAAUAAUCAUUUUUCUCAAGCUCCUGUAAACUGAUCAUGGCAUGGCUGUGGAUGGCCAUAUAAAUCAAUUUUCAUUUUGAUAACCUACAGCUUAAGUUUUCAAACAUCCAAAACAAUUAAUGUUGCCAAAUUUAAGAGUGCUUCUCUACUUUAGACAGUGGAGCAUGAACAAAGAACUAAGGAGAAAACAAACCAAGGAAAAUAAUUUUGACCUGAAUAACAUUUUUGAACAAUUGUAUAGAUCGUUUAAAACCCAAUCUUGCUUCUUGAAUUAAACAUUCUAUGCCCCAGAAUGAAUCUGCACACAGAACAAGGAAAAGGCAUUUUCCAAAAACAUGAAGGACCUAGUAGGAAUUCCUUUUUAUGUGGCUCAUUGAAGAGCAGCUUACAGAAUGACCAAAGUUGGCCUGGGGUGACUUUCACUUAGAAGCUUCACCAAAGAGUACACUUUCCCUGAACUAAGUUUUGACUCCAGAUCCAACUCGUGAGAGUUUUGCUAAACUUCAAUAAGAUCCCACCUCAAAGAUCUCUGGGGACAUUUAAAAUUAAGGUAAGUUCCCCUUAACAUUUCAGAAGCAUGUGAACAUAUAAACCAAUGGUGUAAGACCACAUUAAAAAUGAUUGAAUUUAAAACUUUUCAAACUAAAAAUACCUGGAAGACAAGAAUUCUUCCCCCACCCAAUGUUACAUCAGAAUAAUGCAUAAGAAGGAGAAAAUACUUAUCAGUACUUGCCUGAAUAAACUGAGAAAAGCCUCAUAAGAUCAAGGGAGCAGUUCUACCAAUUUCCCUGUAGCUCUGCAAUUUUCAAAGGUUUCAUAACACAAUAUAUCCCCAGUGGCUCUUUCGUUCACUGAUUAUAAAACCACAUAGCCAGAAAGGAAAGAAAUCCCAAAGCCCCAAAAAGCAGCUUGUCCUGUCCAUCAGUUCACAUUUAUAGAGUUUUGGAGCUAAAAGGGAUACUAGUCGUUGUCUUUGAAGUAUUUCAUUUUACAUAUGAGGAAACUCUCAGGUUAAGUGACGACCUUGAUCAUCCAGCUGAGAGAUGUCAAAGCCCUUCCUUUGUUAUUUCCAACUUCUCCUCGCAGUCGGCAGUCAACCUACACUACUCCCUGCAAAAUAAUUACUUAUAGACUUAAGGAUUUCAUCUUUAAACCCUGCUCCCUCCCACCCCAGGAAACUCACACAUGUCUUCCCCUGGGGUAUGGUCAUAGGAGUCACAAUUUUAAUAUAAUCUACUAAUGGCCAGGGAUUUUGUUCAGCUGAGAAGUAUGUAUCUACUGAUCUGCAGGGUAUUGAUUUGAGGGGGAAGGUCUUUUCAGCCCACAAGAAAAUUCAAAAUCCUUUAUUACUCUUAGAUUAUUUUAUGAAUAAUUCCAGGGGGAAAAAAACAUACGGUUGUUUCCUGUAAAUAUUGAGAUUGAAGCAAAAACCUUUGUAGUUGGCCACAAGGGGGCAGCUGCAACAUUUUUCUCCUAAAUGUUUGCAGUUCUAAACCACCAGGAGCAAUGGGGCAUUCUGGGUCUCAGCUUGCCACAGAAUCUCCAAAACCACCUUUCAACUGAGUUCUCAGUAUGACACAAAACAUUCUCAUACGGUGUUUCUUGGGACUUGUUUUGUUUUUAAACAAAUUAUUUCCCAACUCCUUUCCAGAUCAAGAGAGAACCCUCUGUUUUAGAACUCUGUGCCAAGAUGACCAUCUCUACAAAGAUCUUUGGAGACUAAUAAAUUGUUACGCUAAUUUGGAAACCCUCAGAAAAUGUUUUAAUUAUGUUUGACCCCAGAUAAAAAUAAAAACAGUAAUGAUCAUCUGA